Long non-coding RNA from Trematomus bernacchii (emerald rockcod), 306 nucleotides. RefSeq lists it as uncharacterized. The transcript has 3 exons. NCBI's taxonomy places the organism in Eukaryota, Metazoa, Chordata, Actinopteri, Perciformes, Nototheniidae. The record is from RefSeq and is a predicted model, not a curated record.
UGAAGAUCUAGAUGUCAAAAAUAACAUCUUAUUCGAUUUCAUCUGGUCUGGAAUGCACUUUUGUAUUAAUGCUUCAAAAGAGGAUGGAACACUUGGACGUCUUGCAAAUGAUAAUCACAGGAAUCCAAACUGCAGAGUGAAAAAAAUCGUUGUCAAGGGAACCCCACACUUGUGCCUAUUUGCUGUAACGGAAAUAUUCCCAGAGGAGGAGAUAACUUACAACUAUGGGGAUUCUGCUUGGCCCUGGCGCUUAAAGGCUCCCCGGGAAGUAGCUUCUAACCCUGAGCCCGAGAGAGAUCCUCCGUU